GCACUAACAAAAAUCAAUACGUCUUUAUUUAACAAAAUAAAUACUAGACCAGUUAAAGUGGUUUUGGUUUUUGUGUCGGCGCAUUUUACAUAGAAAGGUUCACUCAUGUAUGUAAUUCAUUUUCGUACGUUUUAACAAAUUCACUUUAAAUGAUCAUUUUGUCAAAAUGGACACUUUAUCUAGCACCGUUGUCAGUACCUAUUAUAAUGCACACACAAUAGAAACAAUCUGUUUUCUUCAGUUAUUAUAACUUUUAUAUUUAGUACAAUUGUUUAAAAAUAUCACUUAAUCUUUCUCCAUAUUUUUUGUUUAUCUUAAUUCAUAGCACAAUUGACGAGUGUUUCAAGAGCUCAUGUGCAAAUGGGUGAGUAUACGAUAAUUAGUUAAGCGAUGAAAAUUGAACGAAAAAAAAAUAGACUUUACAUUUAAUUUUCAACACGUCUUAAUAUGCGUCUUGUUAGGGCUAGGCUAACACUUUAUAAAUAGAGAACCCAUUAGAGGACGUUUGUAAAAGAGCAUCAGUUCGAUAAUAUCAAUAUAAAGGUUGUAAAACACAAAUAUAGAGGAUUUAGAGUUAUCCCCCUUAGACUGCAUUACAGCCUAUUUGAACAAUACUUUUGUAUACACAAUUGUUAUAUGUAUAGGUUGUGAUUUAACUAUAUGGCAGGCCAUAUUUACUGUAUGUAAUAAAUGUAAAUGUUGUUCAAAAUAAAUCAUUACUAGUAUACUUCUUAA
This 735-nucleotide long non-coding RNA is filed under the name Mytilus galloprovincialis (Mediterranean mussel). The record is from RNAcentral. Lineage: Eukaryota; Metazoa; Mollusca; Bivalvia; Mytilida; Mytilidae.